UACCUGCAGCUCAAGUAGUGGCCGCUAUUAUUGGGCCUAAAACGUCCGUAGCCGGUUCUAUAAAUGCCUGGGUAAAUCGUACGGCUUAACCGUACGAAUUCCGGGUAGACUGUUCAACUUGAGACCGGGAGAGGCUAGAGGUACUCCUGGGGUAGAGGUGAAAUUCUGUAAUCCUAGGGGGACCACCAGUGGCGAAGGCGUCUAGCUAGAACGGGUCUGACGGUGAGGGGCGAAGCCCUGGGGAGCAAACGGGAUUAGAUACCCCGGUAGUCCAGGGUGUAAACGCUGCUCGCUUGAUGUUAGUUGGGCUCCGAGCCCAACUAGUGUCGGAGAGAAGUUGUUAAGCGAGCUGCCGUGGGGAGUACGGUCGCAAGACUAGAAACUUAAAGGAUUGGCGGGGAGCCACCGCGAACGGGUGGAGCGUGCGGUUU
Molecule: ribosomal RNA, 431 nt
Filed under: uncultured archaeon
Lineage: Archaea
Description: bacterial SSU rRNA
Rfam family: Archaeal small subunit ribosomal RNA
Source: RNAcentral